GAAUGUGCUGUGACGAGACAAUUUGUGGACUAGAGUUUCUGAUCUGGGUUCUUCUCCCAGAAGCUGAUUAACAACCCUUGGCUGUCCGAGCACAAUU
Molecule: small nucleolar RNA, 97 nt
Organism: Lotus japonicus
Lineage: Eukaryota; Viridiplantae; Streptophyta; Magnoliopsida; Fabales; Fabaceae
Product: small nucleolar RNA Z157/R69/R10
Exons: 1
Source: RefSeq, a predicted model, not a curated record